UGGGAAUUGAAGUCUUUGGCAGCUACAGUGAUUGCCCCUUAAACUACUUUUAAUUGAUUAAGAUUGCAGCUAAUGGUCAGCAGAACACCUCUAAGUCAUUGUCUCUUAAAAACAAAAAAGAAUACAGUACAAGCACAGAUUAUAGCUAUUUUAAUGACAAAUAAUGCAAACCGAGAUUAAGCACAAAGGAUUGACAUCAAUGCCUAUUUCUUUCAAUUUUCAUCUUACUUAGAUGAGAUCAAGAAUUUGAAAUGGAUAAG
This 260-nucleotide unclassified non-coding RNA is filed under the name Hevea brasiliensis (rubber tree). The record is from RNAcentral. Lineage: Eukaryota; Viridiplantae; Streptophyta; Magnoliopsida; Malpighiales; Euphorbiaceae.